Molecule: small nucleolar RNA, 92 nt
Filed under: Chlamydomonas reinhardtii
Lineage: Eukaryota; Viridiplantae; Chlorophyta; Chlorophyceae; Chlamydomonadales; Chlamydomonadaceae
Description: CrCD68 snoRNA
Source: RNAcentral
CGCACGAUGAGCGAGUGACGAUAAAAAAGUUAUCCCUGUCGGAAUUCACCAAAGGCCGGUGGAUCUAUGUCGACCAUUAGCUCUAACUGACG